RNAcentral lists this ribosomal RNA (1343 nucleotides) under uncultured bacterium. RNAcentral describes it as "16S ribosomal RNA". It matches the Rfam family "Bacterial small subunit ribosomal RNA", at positions 28 to 1378 of the family's 1533-position model. The record is from RNAcentral.
GACGAACGCUGGCGGCGUGCUUAACACAUGCAAGUCGAACGGAAAGGCCCUGCUUUUGUGGGGUGCUCGAGUGGCGAACGGGUGAGUAACACGUGAGUAACCUGCCCUUGACUUUGGGAUAACUUCAGGAAACUGGGACUAAUACCGGAUAGGAGCUCCUGCUGCAUGGUGGGGGUUGGAAAGUUUCGGCGGUUGGGGAUGGACUCGCGGCUUAUCAGCUUGUUGGUGGGGUAGUGGCUUACCAAGGCUUUGACGGGUAGCCGGCCUGAGAGGGUGACCGGCCACAUUGGGACUGAGAUACGGCCCAGACUCCUACGGGAGGCAGCAGUGGGGAAUAUUGCACAAUGGGCGGAAGCCUGAUGCAGCAACGCCGCGUGCGGGAUGACGGCCUUCGGGUUGUAAACCGCUUUCGCCUGUGACGAAGCGUGAGUGACGGUAAUGGGUAAAGAAGCACCGGCUAACUACGUGCCAGCAGCCGCGGUGAUACGUAGGGUGCGAGCGUUGUCCGGAUUUAUUGGGCGUAAAGGGCUCGUAGGUGGUUGAUCGCGUCGGAAGUGUAAUCUUGGGGCUUAACCCUGAGCGUGCUUUCGAUACGGGUUGACUUGAGGAAGGUAGGGGAGAAUGGAAUUCCUGGUGGAGCGGUGGAAUGCGCAGAUAUCAGGAGGAACACCAGUGGCGAAGGCGGUUCUCUGGGCCUUUCCUGACGCUGAGGAGCGAGAGCGUGGGGAGCGAACAGGCUUAGAUACCCUGGUAGUCCACGCUGUAAACGGUGGGUACUAGGUGUGGGGUCCAUUCCACGGGUUCCGUGCCGUAGCUAACGCUUUAAGUACCCCGCCUGGGGAGUACGGCCGCAAGGCUAAAACUCAAAGGAAUUGACGGGGCCCCGCACAAGCGGCGGAGCAUGCGGAUUAAUUCGAUGCAACGCGUAGAACCUUACCUGGGUUUGACAUGGAUCGGGAGUGCUCAGAGAUGGGUGUGCCUCUUUUGGGGUCGGUUCACAGGUGGUGCAUGGCUGUCGUCAGCUCGUGUCGUGAGAUGUUGGGUUAAGUCCCGCAACGAGCGCAACCCUUGUUCACUGUUGCCAGCACGUUAUGGUGGGGACUCAGUGGAGACCGCCGGGGUCAACUCGGAGGAAGGUGGGGAUGACGUCAAGUCAUCAUGCCCCUUAUGUCCAGGGCUUCACGCAUGCUACAAUGGCUGGUACAGAGAGUGGCGAGCCUGUGAGGGUGAGCGAAUCUCGGAAAGCCGGUCUCAGUUCGGAUUGGGGUCUGCAACUCGACCUCAUGAAGUCGGAGUCGCUAGUAAUCGCAGAUCAGCAACGCUGCGGUGAAUACGUUCCCGGG